Salvelinus sp. IW2-2015 is the source of this 251-nucleotide non-coding RNA. NCBI's taxonomy places the organism in Eukaryota, Metazoa, Chordata, Actinopteri, Salmoniformes, Salmonidae. The record is from RefSeq and is a predicted model, not a curated record.
UGCAUUCUGAAUAGCAAUGUCCUGCAGGUAUAGAACAUCUGCAUUCUGAUAGCAAUGUGCUGCAGGUCUGCAUUCUGAUAGCAAUGUGCUGCAGGUAUAGAACAUCUGCAUUCUGAUAGCAAUGUGCUGCAGGUAUAGAACAUCUGCAUUCUGAUAGCAAUGUCCUGCAGGUAUAGAACAUCUGCAUUCUGAUAGCAAUGUGCUGCAGGUAUACAACAUCUGCAUUCUGAUAGCAAUGUGCUGCAGGUAUA